RNAcentral lists this ribosomal RNA (486 nucleotides) under uncultured bacterium. RNAcentral describes it as "partial 16S ribosomal RNA". It matches the Rfam family "Bacterial small subunit ribosomal RNA", at positions 30 to 507 of the family's 1533-position model. The record is from RNAcentral.
AUUGAACGCUGGCGGCAUGCCUUACACAUGCAAGUCGAACGGCAGCACGGGUGCUUGCACCUGGUGGCGAGUGGCGAACGGGUGAGUAAUACAUCGGCAUAUGUCCUGUAGUGGGGGAUAGCCCGGCGAAAGCCGGAUUAAUACCGCAUACGAUCAACGGAUAAAAGCGGGGGACCUUCGGGCCUCGCGCUAUAGGGUUGGCCGAUGGCUGAUUAGCUAGUUGGUGUGGUAAAGGCCUACCAAGGCGACGAUCAGUAGCUGGUCUGAGAGGACGACCAGCCACACUGGGACUGAGACACGGCCCAGACUCCUACGGGAGGCAGCAGUGGGGAAUUUUGGACAAUGGGCGAAAGCCUGAUCCAGCAAUGCCGCGUGUGUGAAGAAGGCCUUCGGGUUGUAAAGCACUUUUGUCCGGAAAGAAAUGCUUGGCCCUAAUACGGUCGGGGGAUGACGGUACCGGAAGAAUAAGCACCGGCUAACUACGUG